UUGGGCGUAAAGAGUCCGUUAGCCGGAUACAAUAAGUCUGUUUUCAAAUACUAUGGCUCAACCAUAGAAAGGGAAUAGAUACUGUGUAUCUGGAAGUUAUUGGGGGUUAGUGGAAUUUCAGGUGGACCGGUGAAAUGCGUUGAUAUCUGAAAGAACGCCGAAAGCGAAAGCAGCUAACUACAAUAAACUUGACGGUAAUGGACGAAAGCUUGGGGAGCGAACGGGAUUAGAUACCCCGGUAGUCCAAGCUGUAAAUUAUGCUUGCUAGAUGUUUUGGACCCUUGUGGUCUGGAGUGUCGUAAUCUAACGAGUUAAGCAAGCCGCCUGGGUAGUAUAUUCGCAAGAAUGAAACUCAAAGGGAUAGGCGGGGGAACACACAAGCAGUGGAUUGUCUAGAUUAAUUGGAUAAUAAGCCAAGAAUCUCACCUAGAUUUGACAUGUACUAUGUCCUAUAUGAAAGUAUAGUAGUCCGGGCAAUCGGACAUGGUAUACAGGUGGUGCAUGGUCGUCGUCAGCUCGUGCCGCAAGGUGUCUAGUUUAGUCUGGAAACGAGCGCAACCCUCAUCUUUAGUUAGAAUGUCUAAAGAGACUGCCUGGGUAACCAGGAGGAAGGAGAGGAUGACGUCAGAUCCUCAUGCCCCUUACAUCUAGGGCUUCAUAGACAAUACAAUGGGUAGUACAACGAGAAGCUAAGCCGCGAGGUGGAGCAAACCUCUAAAACUAUCCCUAGUUCGGAUUGUAGUCUGGAACUCGACUACAUGAAGUUGGAAUUGCUAGUAAUGGCGGGUCAGCUACACCGCCGUGAAUAUGUCCCUGUUCCUUGCACUCACCGCCCGUCAAACCAUGGGAGCUGAGAGCCUCUGAAGAUGU
This 870-nucleotide ribosomal RNA is filed under the name uncultured organism. Its description in RNAcentral is "bacterial SSU rRNA". It matches the Rfam family "Bacterial small subunit ribosomal RNA", at positions 554 to 1430 of the family's 1533-position model. The record is from RNAcentral.